Molecule: ribosomal RNA, 406 nt
Filed under: uncultured bacterium
Lineage: Bacteria
Description: partial 16S ribosomal RNA
Rfam family: Bacterial small subunit ribosomal RNA
Source: RNAcentral
GACGAACGCUGGCGGCGUGCCUAAUACAUGCAAGUAGGACGCAGUUGCGAACGGGUGAGUAACGCGUAGGUCACUAGCUCUUGGAGGGGAAUAACUAUUGGAAACGAUAGCUCAUACCGCAUACUAGUAGAUGGACCUACGUUGUAUUAGGUAGUAUGUCGGGGAAUGGCCUACCUAGGCAACGAUACAUAGCCGAGCUUAGAGGGAGAUCCGCCACACUGGGACCGAGACAGGGCCCAAAGUCGACGGGGGGCAGCAGGUGGGAAUAUUUGGCAAUGGGGGGAACGCUGACCGAGCAACGCCGCGGGAUUGAAGAAGGUUUUCGGAUCGUAAAGCUCUUUUGUUAAGGAAGCGGUACUUAACCAGAAAGGGACGGCUAACUACGUGCCAGCAGCCGCGGUAAUAC